UACGGAGGGUGCAAGCGUUACUCGGAAUCACUGGGCGUAAAGAGUGCGCAGGCGGGCUUGUAAGUCAGAUGUGAAAUCCUGUAGCUUAACUACAGAACUGCAUUUGAAACUAUGAGUCUAGAGUGUGGGAGAGGUAGGUGGAAUUCUUGGUGUAGGGGUAAAAUCCGUAGAUAUCAAGAGGAAUACUCAUUGCGAAGGCGGCCUACCGGCUUCUGUCUGACGCUGAGGCACGAAAGCGUGGGUAUCGAACAGG
RNAcentral lists this ribosomal RNA (253 nucleotides) under uncultured Helicobacter sp. RNAcentral describes it as "partial 16S ribosomal RNA". It matches the Rfam family "Bacterial small subunit ribosomal RNA", at positions 524 to 776 of the family's 1533-position model. The record is from RNAcentral. Lineage: Bacteria; Pseudomonadati; Campylobacterota; Epsilonproteobacteria; Campylobacterales; Helicobacteraceae.